GAAACCAUUAAAAAUUCUUACACAAGGAAAAACCAUACCACAGAAUAGACUCUUAAAAGGAAGUACAAAUAUUUGAAAUGUUGAGAAAAAAACCUGUCUUAUAUACUUGUGAUAUGACUAGGAAACUCAAGUGAAUUAAGUAGAAACUACUAGAACUAAAUAAGAACUGCAUGAGGUGGCUGGACCCAAGAUAAAUAUAAAAACCAAAAGCUUUCCCACAUGCUAGCAAUAAGCUAUUAAAAAACUUAGUGAGGAGCUGGGGUUGUGGCUCAGUGGUAGAGCACUUGCCUAGCACGUGUGAGGCAAGAGUUCAAUCCUCAGCACCACAUAAAAAUAAAAUAAAUAUAUUGUGUCCACCUUAAAAAAAAAACAGUAAAAAAGAUAAUGGAACAAAACAGGAACAUUAAAAGAAAUGCCUUGUUUUUGGAUAAGAAGAUGCAAUGUUAUAAAGCCUUCUGUUCUCCCCAACUUAGUCUAGUAAUUCAGUGAACCUGCAACCCUAAUCCUAUAAUGUUCAUAUUUGUGUAUUGAUUGAUUGAUUGACUUAGUUCCGGGGAUCAGUCCCCGGGCCUCAAGAGUGCUAGGCAAGUGCUCUAACCCUGAGCUACAUCUCUAACUUCCUACAGUGUUUUUAAAAAUUAGCUCAUUCUAAAUUCAACUGUAAUUGUGAUUGCAUGAGGAUAGCCAAGAAGUUUUUGUAAAAUGAAGCAAAUAGUAAGGAACAACUUGCCCUAAGAAUAUCAAAUGCAUUAUACUAUUUUUAAAAAUAUUUUUCUAGUUGUCAAUGGACCUUUAAUUAAUUUAUUUUUUUAUUUAUAUGUGGUGCUGAGAAUCAAACCCAGUGUCUCACACAUGCUAGGCAAGCACUCUACCACUGAGCCACAACCCCAGCUGCUCAAAUGUACUAUACUCUUACCAAGAAAUGUGUAAAUAAUAUAAAUUAAAGCUUUAAAAUAUAUUUUAGCAAAUAUAAAAUUACUUAUGGGACUUGGUUGAUAUUGCUAAUUUAUAUUAAGAAACAAAAUAUGUUGUACACCAAAGUCCAUAGGUUAGAAAUACUAGAAAUGACACUGUGGGAACAAUUGUUGGAACAGACAGCUCGUUACAGAAGCAGGCAUGGAUACAGAGGUUGUAUUGAUUUUUAAGAAUCAAUGUCCAGGGAAGAAGAAGCAGGAUUGCCCAGAGGGAAGCCACCCUGCGGUGCAGGUCUGACCAGCCCUUGCCUGUAGGAGUUCCAGGAUGCAUACAGCCAUCAGAGAUGUCAACAUGGUGAUCAUUCCUGAGAUGGAGUUAAAAUCACAGCAAGCUGGGACCACAUACCCACCAGAAUAGCUAUAAUCAAAAAGGCCGACAGUACCAAGGUGGCCGAGAAUGUAGAUUAAUGGUGACAUUCAUGUGCUGAUGGUGGAAAUGUGAACUGCUUCAGCCACUUAGGUAACUGGCUGGCUGCAUCCGCUGAUGUAUGACCCAGAAGUUCCACUUCUCAGUAUAUACACAGACAGCCUUGUACACGCUGACCAAGAGAUGUGUACAAGACUGUUCAUAACAGCAUUUUUUUUAAAGAUAGAGUGAGAGAGGGAGGGAGGGAGAGAGAGAGAGAGAGAGAGAGAGAGAGAGAGAGAGAAUUUUUUUUAAUAUUUAUUUUUUAGUUUUCGGCGGACACAACAUCUUUGUUUGUAUGUGGUGCUCAGGAUCGAACCUGGGCCGCAUGCUUGCCAGGCGAGCGCGCUACCGCUUGAGCCACAUCCCCAGCCCAGCAUUAUUUGGAAUAGUCCCCAAAUGCCCACCAACAGUAGAAUGGAACAUGGAUUAUGGUAUAUUCGUGCAUGUGCUAAAUUCAUGGAAUAUUACAGCAAAGAACGCUACCACAGGAAGCGACAGAGAUGAACCCCCUAAAUGUAGUGUUGAACACGGGAAGCUGGACAUAAAAAAAAAUGUUGUGAAAUUCUGCUUUCAUAAAAUUCAAAAGUUGACAAGCCAUUCCAAGGUGACAGCCAUGAAGUAGCAGUCCAUUGGGGGUAAUUGCGGAAGGUGGCCCCAGGGCUGUUGGCCAUGCUCAUUUCUUGAGCUGACAGUGCUCAUUCAUGCGCUUUCCCCUCCUCAAACAGCCUUGGAGCGUGCACUUGAUCCGUGUUCUUUCCUGUGUGUAUGUUUGUGUUUCUCCCUAAUAAAUUGUCCC
Molecule: long non-coding RNA, 2179 nt
Filed under: Marmota monax (woodchuck)
Lineage: Eukaryota; Metazoa; Chordata; Mammalia; Rodentia; Sciuridae
Rfam family: tRNA (bases 259-326)
Source: RNAcentral